RNAcentral lists this ribosomal RNA (491 nucleotides) under Eutreptiella gymnastica. RNAcentral's name for it is "partial Eukaryotic small subunit ribosomal RNA". It matches the Rfam family "Eukaryotic small subunit ribosomal RNA", at positions 1 to 445 of the family's 1831-position model. The record is from RNAcentral. Lineage: Eukaryota; Euglenozoa; Euglenophyceae; Eutreptiales; Eutreptiaceae.
UCUGGUUGAUCCUGCCAGUUGUCAUAUGCUUCUCUCAAGGACUAAGCCAUGCAAGUGUCAGAAUACAUGGGAUUGAGAGUGAAUCUGUGAAUGGCUCAUUACACCGGCGACAAUCUGAUGACUGUGCACUGGUUGCUUGGGGCCCUCGUGGUCCCCUGUGACAUCGGUCCGGAUAUUCACCUCAACUGGGUGGCUAAUACAUGGAAGCUCAGAGCUGUGGCCCGUUCAGGGUCACUGGCAGUUGGCCGAUAUCAAGACCUGCGCCCGUACAGGGCAGCGUGCAAGGGUGAUUCAGGCCGUUUUCUGUGAUGGCAAAGAUGGUUCUACCAUGAAUGCUCCACAGUGUGAGUCUCUGACCUAUCAGCUCUGGUUGGUGGUGUAGUGGACCACCAUGGCUAUCACGGGUAACGGGAAAUCAGGGUUUGAUUCCGGAGAGGGAGCCUAAGAAACGGCUACCAUUGCCAAGGCGAGCAGCAGGCGCGCAAAUUGUC